UGAUCAUUAUUAUAGGAUAUGUGGUUUACUGUUUAUCAUUAGAUUUUGUUCCUUUUUCCCAUUAAACAUGAAGAAUAAGGAUAAGUAAAGGUGAUGCUUGUGAUUGCAGAAGAUAUUAGCAGGAACAGGGCUCACGUACGCGUUCAAUAAGAUCAAGGCACAGGUACCGUUUUAUAUCUCGAUGAAGAUCUGCUGGUAGUUGUCUCAGAACUGAAUUCUCUUCAACUCCCUGUGUUGCAAUCCACUUGUAUUUGAGGAAUUGACUGAUGCGGUAUCUCAACUCAUCAGGUAUUUGAUGAUCUGUCAUCCAAUCUUCCAUUUCUGCUUGCCAUAUUCUCCAAUCUUCAGUAUUCUUAGAAAGAGAUCUCAUUUGUAUCUGUGAAGCAUUUAUUUUGCUUAUUUGGUGUACUACAUAAAUAAACUGUUACUAUAGUUCUUUUACAAGACAAUUACCUGCAUGUUGCCUAUUAGCUGUGCAAACAAACCAAUGCUGAGAAGGGUUAGCCCUAUUGCAAAUAGGUUUUCACCAAUGAAGGAACUAGUCACCAAAGGGUUGCCGUACGUUCUGACCAAAAAUGUACACAAAAUAACAUUUCAGUAAUCUGAAAUCAUGAUAAGUCUGCCACAAACACUGCAAGCAGCAUGAAAGAAUUUGUAAGAACAAGUUAGGGUUAAUACUAGACAACAAUUGUUUUCUGGCUGUAAAUCUGUAAUGCCAUUUUGGAGCUUGAAUAAUUGAAAACACAGUAAGUAUAAAAAUACGAACGUCAACUGUUGAAGUCCCCACCAAAGGGAGUAGAAAUAUUUCUCAGAGAAUGAAGUUGUGGUCACUCCAUUUUGUAUUGCUCGAAUGAAUAUGCCAUAGUUAAUAUUGACAUUGUUGCUGUUGGCGUUGCAACCUGUGAAUACAUUUGUGCUAUUUGCCCAACUUUGACUGUCACUUGAUAUGGCAUAUUUACAGUCAAGGAACUUCAAAUCACAUGGUACAUGGUGUGCCAUGCUGUCCUCAAUAGAGCACUGUGUUUCCCAGCAUGUCUUUUGCCGAUCCACUGCUGUUAGAUAGAAUAUUGCUCCAACCACCUGUUGGAAACAUGGCACAAAAUACUGGUUUAAUAAGAUAAGUUACAACCUUUUUUCCUAUAGGAUGAUUUAUGUUUGGCAUAAAUUCCAAUCGUUUAUUACAUGAAGUGUCUUGACUACAAAAUGCCUAGUGCAAUAUUGAUGAAAUUAAUUCUAGCCAGAUCAUAUGGGGCUAAACUCUAUGUUUUAAAAUGUCUCAUUAUCCUAGGACCAGACUGUUACUUUUAUCUGUUUGCAGCAAUAUCUACUGUAGAUACGCUCAAAGUUCGUUAGGUACUUUUACCAUAAAAUCAUGAUAGUUGUUUUUGUAAUUCAAGUGAAAUAACUAGUAACACUUACAUGACUUGCCACCAAAUAAAGAACUAGAUUGUAGAUAGCUCCUUCCCACCCGUUUUUUGCAAUGAAACCCACCAUUUCCAGAAUGUUAAUGCUGAGAAGAAUUACAGUGUAUAAUCUGAUGGCAGAUUGGACCAAUAUUAUCAAAAAGAAAGGGGCAUUGAUAUGCUUGAAGCUCAUAUAUGGCAUGACUGCCCACACGAGAAACUGCACAUACAAGGAACUAAUCAGCACACAAAUGUCACAUUUUUUCCUGAUUACUUCUGUAUUAUCUUUCCUCCAAUAGAAGAGACGUACUUGUGGAACUGGCAAUGCAGCUACCAGGUCAAUGAAGAAGUCUCUUCUGAUGUAUCUUUUUGCAAUCCUUUUAGGAUCUGUGACAAGCUCACCCUUGCCAAGCACUUUGGAGCCUGGAU
Molecule: long non-coding RNA, 1832 nt
Filed under: Oryza brachyantha (malo sina)
Lineage: Eukaryota; Viridiplantae; Streptophyta; Magnoliopsida; Poales; Poaceae
Description: long non-coding RNA (OBRA_LNC002218)
Source: RNAcentral